AUUGAACGCUGGCGGCAGGCCUAACACAUGCAAGUCGAGCGGAUGAAGGGAGCUUGCUCCUGGAUUCAGCGGCGGACGGGUGAGUAAUGCCUAGGAAUCUGCCUGGUAGUGGGGGAUAACGUCCGGAAACGGGCGCUAAUACCGCAUACGUCCUGAGGGAGAAAGUGGGGGAUCUUCGGACCUCACGCUAUCAGAUGAGCCUAGGUCGGAUUAGCUAGUUGGUGGGGUAAAGGCCUACCAAGGCGACGAUCCGUAACUGGCCUGAGAGGAUGAUCAGUCACACUGGAACUGAGACACGGUCCAGACUCCUACGGGAGGCAGCAGUGGGGAAUAUUGGACAAUGGGCGAAAGCCUGAUCCAGCCAUGCCGCGUGUGUGAAGAAGGUCUUCGGAUUGUAAGGCACUUUAAGUUGGGAGGAAGGGCAGUAAGUUAAUACCUUGCUGUUUUGACGUUACCAACAGAAUAAGCACCGGCUAACUUCGU
This 483-nucleotide ribosomal RNA is filed under the name uncultured bacterium. Its description in RNAcentral is "partial 16S ribosomal RNA". It matches the Rfam family "Bacterial small subunit ribosomal RNA", at positions 30 to 506 of the family's 1533-position model. The record is from RNAcentral.